RNAcentral lists this small RNA (263 nucleotides) under Staphylococcus aureus. Its description in RNAcentral is "HMPRFS0000_0171". Lineage: Bacteria; Bacillati; Bacillota; Bacilli; Caryophanales; Staphylococcaceae. The record is from RNAcentral.
AUUAUUUUAGUCAUUAUAUCCUAAUAUCAUGAUACGUGUUCCUAUAUAUUUUGUUUCGCUUAAAAUCUAAACAACGCCGUAAACAUGCUAAGACUUACCGCUAGACUGCCUACAAACACGCUUCAGAAACGAUAUUUAUUCUAGUACAAACCUUUUAAAGCAUUGCUUGUAUCAAUAUAAAUAUUUUUAACUUGUUGAUAGUUACUUAACGCACCUUUAUAAGUUUCUCGACCGAUACCUGAUUUUUUAUAACCACCAAAUGG